Molecule: ribosomal RNA, 710 nt
Filed under: uncultured Bacteroidota bacterium
Lineage: Bacteria; Pseudomonadati; Bacteroidota
Description: bacterial SSU rRNA
Rfam family: Bacterial small subunit ribosomal RNA
Source: RNAcentral
GCACGGGUGAGUAACGCGUACACAACCUACCCUUAAGAGGGGGAUAGCCCAGAGAAAUUUGGAUUAAUACCCCAUAACAUUCUAAAACUGCAUAGUUUAAGGAUUAAAGUUAAGGCGCUUAAGGAUGGGUGUGCGUCCCAUUAGUUAGUUGGUAGGGUAACGGCCUACCAAGACCGCGAUGGGUAAGGGGCGUGAGAGCGUGACCCCUCACACGGGUACUGAGACACGGACCCGACUCCUACGGGAGGCAGCAGUAAGGAAUAUUGGACAAUGGGCGCAAGCCUGAUCCAGCCAUCCCGCGUGCAGGAUGAAUGCCCUAUGGGUUGUAAACUGCUUUUAUCAGGGAAGAAAUCCCCCGACGUGUUGGGGGUUGACGGUACCUGAAGAAUAAGCACCGGCUAACUCCGUGCCAGCAGCCGCGGUAAUACGGAGGGUGCAAGCGUUAUCCGGAAUCACUGGGUUUAAAGGGUGCGUAGGCGGCUUAAUAAGUCAGAGGUGAAAGGCCACAGCUUAACUGUGGAACUGCCUUUGAUACUGUUAAGCUAGAAUCAAGUUGAAGUUAGUGGAAUGUGGCAUGUAACGGUGAAAUGCAUAGAUAUGCCAUAGAACACCGAUUGCGAAUGCAGCUAACUGGGCUUGUAAUUGAACGCUGAGGCACGAAAGCGUGAGGAGCGAGAAGGAUCGAUCCCCUGAAGUCCACGCCCUAACGA